RNAcentral lists this ribosomal RNA (567 nucleotides) under uncultured bacterium. RNAcentral's name for it is "bacterial SSU rRNA". It matches the Rfam family "Bacterial small subunit ribosomal RNA", at positions 338 to 916 of the family's 1533-position model. The record is from RNAcentral.
CCUACGGGAGGCAGCAGUGGGGAAUAUUGCGCAAUGGGCGAAAGCCUGACGCAGCAACGCCGCGUGGGGGAUGAAGGCCUUCGGGUUGUAAACCUCUUUCAGCAGGGAAGAAGCGAAAGUGACGGUACCUGCAGAAGAAGCACCGGCUAACUACGUGCCAGCAGCCGCGGUAAUACGUAGGGUGCAAGCGUUGUCCGGAUUUAUUGGGCGUAAAGAGCUCGUAGGCGGUUAGUCACGUCGGAUGUGAAAUCCCGGAGCUUAACUCCGGGCCUGCAUUCGAUACGGGCUGACUCGAGUGUUGUAGGGGAGACUGGAACUCCUGGUGUAGCGGUGAAAUGCGCAGAUAUCAGGAAGAACACCGGUGGCGAAGGCGGGUCUCUGGGCAACUACUGACGCUGAGGAGCGAAAGCGUGGGGAGCAAACAGGAUUAGAUACCCUGGUAGUCCACGCCGUAAACGGUGGGCGCUAGGUGUGGGGAACAUUCCACGUUCUCUGCGCCGCAGCUAACGCAUUAAGCGCCCCGCCUGGGGAGUACGGCCGCAAGGCUAAAACUCAAGGAAUUGACGG